GUGCUCGCUUUGGCAGCACGUAUACUAAAAUUGGAAUGGAAUGAUACAGAGAUUAGUAUGGCCCCUGAGCAAGAAAGACAUGCAAAUUCGUGAAGCAUUCCAUAUUAAA
Suncus etruscus (white-toothed pygmy shrew) is the source of this 109-nucleotide small nuclear RNA. The record is from RefSeq and is a predicted model, not a curated record. Lineage: Eukaryota; Metazoa; Chordata; Mammalia; Eulipotyphla; Soricidae.